UACGGAGGGUGCAAGCGUUAUCCGGAUUCACUGGGUUUAAAGGGUGCGUAGGCGGGCAUGUAAGUCUGUGGUGAAAUCUCCAAGCUUAACUUGGAAACUGCCAUGGAUACUAUAUGUCUUGAAUGUUGUGGAGGUUAGCGGAAUAUGUCAUGUAGCGGUGAAAUGCAUAGAUAUGACACAGAACACCAAUUGCGAAGGCAGCUCGCUAAACUGUUACUGACGCUGAGGCACGAAAGCGUGGGGAGCAAACAGG
RNAcentral lists this ribosomal RNA (253 nucleotides) under uncultured bacterium. RNAcentral describes it as "partial 16S ribosomal RNA". It matches the Rfam family "Bacterial small subunit ribosomal RNA", at positions 524 to 776 of the family's 1533-position model. The record is from RNAcentral.